Molecule: ribosomal RNA, 253 nt
Filed under: uncultured bacterium
Lineage: Bacteria
Description: partial 16S ribosomal RNA
Rfam family: Bacterial small subunit ribosomal RNA
Source: RNAcentral
UACGUAGGGGGCAAGCGUUAUCCGGAUUUACUGGGUGUAAAGGGAGCGUAGACGGUGAUGCAAGUCAGAAGUGAAAGCCCGGGGCUCAACUCCGGGACUGCUUUUGAAACUGUGUAACUGGAGUGCAGGAGAGGUAAGCGGAAUUCCUGGUGUAGCGGUGAAAUGCGUAGAUAUCAGGAGGAACACCAGUGGCGAAGGCGGCUUACUGGACUGUAACUGACGUUGAGGCUCGAAAGCGUGGGGAUCGAACAGG